CCGCUCGUAGCUCAGCUGGAUAGAGUACCGCCCUCCGAAGGCGGUGGUCGCGCGUUCGAAUCGCGCCGAGCGGGCCA
RNAcentral lists this transfer RNA (77 nucleotides) under Oceanospirillum linum. RNAcentral describes it as "tRNA-Arg". It matches the Rfam family "tRNA". Rfam says of the family: Transfer RNA (tRNA) molecules are approximately 80 nucleotides in length. The record is from RNAcentral. Lineage: Bacteria; Pseudomonadati; Pseudomonadota; Gammaproteobacteria; Oceanospirillales; Oceanospirillaceae. RNAcentral also lists the same sequence under 3 other names.